CGAAUGUAAAACAUACGCCAACGAUUAGUUUUGAUCUAAUAAAAGCGUUCCUCCCAUCUCUUGUCGGAACUCUGGUUUGCAUGUAUUAGCAACCCUGCUUC
Molecule: long non-coding RNA, 101 nt
Organism: Vespa mandarinia (Asian giant hornet)
Lineage: Eukaryota; Metazoa; Arthropoda; Insecta; Hymenoptera; Vespidae
Source: RefSeq, a predicted model, not a curated record